UUACAAAUUACAACUAUACACUACAGCAGUUAUGGCAGGAAUUGUUUUUGGUGGAAAUUUAUUAAAUAGUAUUUUCUUCAGUGCCUGCAAAACCUGUUUGAUUAUAUUAGUCCCACUGCGGUCGAGUGUUGCCCCAAAAUAUAUGAGCUUGUGGCAUCAAAUUAGCCCCUCAAGGCUUGCACCCUAUUUAUUUUACUCCUUUUGUUUUAAAAAAGGAAAAAUAAAGGUAUUUUAAAGUACCUCAAUUGAUAUUUCAUACAUUUUCCUUCCAUUUCAUUUUUCUGUUUACCAGCUCACCUCUCGAACCUCAUUGUGGCUUAUGGGAAAAGCACACCGGACCACUAAGGACAAGGGAGAGCUAGU
RNAcentral lists this long non-coding RNA (363 nucleotides) under Gossypium barbadense (sea-island cotton). Its description in RNAcentral is "long non-coding RNA (GBAR_LNC008838)". The record is from RNAcentral. Lineage: Eukaryota; Viridiplantae; Streptophyta; Magnoliopsida; Malvales; Malvaceae.